This 393-nucleotide ribosomal RNA is filed under the name Stramenopiles sp. MAST-2D. Its description in RNAcentral is "partial small subunit ribosomal RNA". It matches the Rfam family "Eukaryotic small subunit ribosomal RNA", at positions 582 to 975 of the family's 1831-position model. The record is from RNAcentral.
AUUCCAGCUCCAAUGGCGUAUAUUAAAGUUGUUGCAGUUAAAAAGCUCGUAGUUGGAUUUCUGGCAGGAGCGACCGGUCGGCCCAUUGUGGUGUGUACUAGUGUUGCAUCUGGCCAUAUUUGUGGAGAGCGUGUGUGGCAUUAAUUUGUCGUGCUCGGGACCCGCAUCGUUUACUGUGAGAAAAUUAGAGUGUUCAAAGCAGGCUUAUGCCUUGGAUAUGUUAGCAUGGAAUAAUAAGAUAAGACUUUGGCGGUCUAUUUUGUUGGUUUGCACGCCAUUGUAAUGAUUGAUAGGGACAGUUGGGGGUAUUCAUAUUUAAUUGUCAGAGGUGAAAUUCUUGGAUUUUGGAAAGAUGAACUACUGCGAAGGCAUUUACCAAGGAUGUUUUCAUCA